This 426-nucleotide ribosomal RNA is filed under the name Phytomyza ilicicola. RNAcentral describes it as "SSU rRNA". It matches the Rfam family "Eukaryotic small subunit ribosomal RNA", at positions 594 to 945 of the family's 1831-position model. The record is from RNAcentral. Lineage: Eukaryota; Metazoa; Arthropoda; Insecta; Diptera; Agromyzidae.
AUAGCGUAUAUUAAAGUUGUUGCGGUUAAAACGUUCGUAGUUGAACUUGUGCUUCAUACGGGUAGUACAACUAUAAUUGUGGUAUGUACUAUACCCUAUGUAUGUAAGCGUAUUACCGGUGGAGUUCUUACAUGUAAUAAUUAUACUUGUAUUUUUAUUAUAUGUUCCUCCUAUAUAAAAAAACCUGCUUCAGUGCUCUUCAUCGAGUGUUGAUGUGGGCCGGUACAAUUACUUUGAACAAAUUAGAGUGCUUAAAGCAAGCUCCAAAUGCCUGAAUAUUUUGUGCAUGGAAUAAUGAAAUAAGACCUCUGUUCUACUUUCAUUGGUUUUUAGAUCAAGAGGUAAUGAUUAAUAGAAGCAGUUUGGGUGCAUUAGUAUUACGACGCGAGAGGUGAAAUUCUUGGACCGUCGUAAGACUAACUUAAG